RNAcentral lists this unclassified non-coding RNA (361 nucleotides) under Hevea brasiliensis (rubber tree). The record is from RNAcentral. Lineage: Eukaryota; Viridiplantae; Streptophyta; Magnoliopsida; Malpighiales; Euphorbiaceae.
GGGAGCCUUACAAAUAGUCAUUGCCCAAAGAUCUCUACGCAGUCAUAACAGGACAUCGGCCUUACAGGCUCUACGAAGGAGGAGAGAGCCAGAGCUCUUGGCAUGCUUCAAAGCCACGGAGGUAUUAGCCUUACAGGCUCUACGAGAAAGGAGAAACGAGAGCGGCAGAGCUCUUGGCAUGCUUUAAAGUCACGCAGGAAUUGAAAGCUACAGCAGCAUUGAUAUCGUUCCUAGAGGACUUGCCCCCAAGGAACCCAUAAAGUUGAAACUUGUUCCCAAAACACCAUAUGGCAAAAGAGAUAGCACAACCACUGCCAUCAGAAGACCCUCUCUUUUUACCUUCAAGUGUACUCAGCAGAUC